This 660-nucleotide ribosomal RNA is filed under the name uncultured Pseudomonadota bacterium. RNAcentral describes it as "bacterial SSU rRNA". It matches the Rfam family "Bacterial small subunit ribosomal RNA", at positions 77 to 714 of the family's 1533-position model. The record is from RNAcentral. Lineage: Bacteria; Pseudomonadati; Pseudomonadota.
ACUUUGGUUCUUGAGUAAAGUGGCGCACGGGUGCGUAACACGUAAGUAAUCUACCCUAGAGGCUGGGAUAACCUCCCGAAAGGGGGGCUAAUACCGGAUAGUGUCCCUGAGGUAUAGGCCGCAGGGGGAAAGCAGGCCUCUGUUUUACGCUUGUAUUCUAGGAUGAGCUUGCGGCCCAUUAGCUUGUUGGUGGGGUAAUGGCAUACCAAGGCUACGAUGGGUAGCUGGUCUGAGAGGAUGAUCAGCCACACUGGCACUGAGACACGGGCCAGACUCCUACGGGAGGCAGCAGUGGGGAAUUUUGCGCAAUGGGCGAAAGCCUGACGCAGUAACGCCGUGUGGAGGAUGAAGGCCUUCGGGUCGUAAACUCCUGUCAGAGGGAAUGAAGGUUAGCAAGAGAUAACAUUGACUAAUCUGACGGUACCCUCAAAGGAAGCCCCGGCUAAUUCCGUGCCAGCAGCCGCGGUAAUACGGAAGGGGCAAGCGUUGUUCGGAAUUAUUGGGCGUAAAGGGCGCGUAGGUGGUUCUAUAUGUCUGCUGUGAAAGGGUACGGCUCAACCGUACUUGGGCGGUAGAAACUGUAGAACUCGAGGCUGGGAGGGGCUAGUGGAAUUCCCCGUGUAGCGGUGAAAUGCGUAGAGAUGGGGGAGAACACUCGUG